This 214-nucleotide unclassified non-coding RNA is filed under the name uncultured Psathyrellaceae. Its description in RNAcentral is "sequence contains ITS2". The record is from RNAcentral. Lineage: Eukaryota; Fungi; Basidiomycota; Agaricomycetes; Agaricales; Psathyrellaceae.
AAUUCUCAACCUCAUCUAGUUUUCGAACUUGUUGUGAUGGCUUGGAUUUGGGAGUUUUGCAGGCUGCAGUCUAACUGCGGUUCUGCUCUCCUUAAAUGUAUUAGCAGGUCUUUUACCUCUAUCCCAACGGUGUGAUAAUCUAUCUACGCUGCUGGUUUGGAGACCCUUUAUUGGGGGACUAGCUUAUAACCGUCCGCAAGGACAAAAUGACCAA